GCUGGAAUGGCUCAAUUGGUAGAGCUACUGAAUCGUAAUCAGUGGGUUGCGGGUUCGACUCCUGUUUCCAGCACCA
This 76-nucleotide transfer RNA is filed under the name Helcococcus ovis. Its description in RNAcentral is "tRNA-Thr". It matches the Rfam family "tRNA". From Rfam's summary of the family: Transfer RNA (tRNA) molecules are approximately 80 nucleotides in length. Their secondary structure includes four short double-helical elements and three loops (D, anti-codon, and T loops). Further hydrogen bonds mediate the characteristic L-shaped molecular structure. tRNAs have two regions of fundamental functional importance: the anti-codon, which is responsible for specific mRNA codon recognition, and the 3' end, to which the tRNAs corresponding amino acid is attached (by aminoacyl-tRNA synthetases). tRNAs cope with the degeneracy of the genetic code in two manners: having more than one tRNA (with a specific anti-codon) for a particular amino acid; and 'wobble' base-pairing, i.e. permitting non-standard base-pairing at the 3rd anti-codon position. RNAcentral also lists the same sequence under 1 other name. Lineage: Bacteria; Bacillati; Bacillota; Tissierellia; Tissierellales; Peptoniphilaceae. The record is from RNAcentral.